RNAcentral lists this ribosomal RNA (789 nucleotides) under uncultured archaeon. RNAcentral describes it as "bacterial SSU rRNA". It matches the Rfam family "Archaeal small subunit ribosomal RNA", at positions 85 to 879 of the family's 1478-position model. The record is from RNAcentral.
ACUGCUCAGUAACACGUGGACAACCUACCCUAUGGAGGGGGAUAACCCCGGGAAACUGGGGAUAAUACCCCAUAGACUAUGGAAGCUGGAAUGCUCUGUAGUUGAAAGGUCCGCCGCCAUAGGAUGGGUCUGCGGCCGAUUAGGUUGUUGUUGGGGUAACGGCCCAACAAGCCUGUAAUCGGUACGGGUUGUGGGAGCAAGAGCCCGGAGAUGGAUUCUGAGACACGAAUCCAGGCCCUACGGGGCGCAGCAGGCGCGAAAACUUUACAAUGCGGGAAACCGUGAUAAGGGAACUCCGAGUGCCCGUAAAAUCGGGCUGUCCAUCUGUUUAAAUAACAGGUGAAGAAAGGGCCGGGCAAGACCGGUGCCAGCCGCCGCGGUAAUACCGGCGGCUCGAGUGGUGGCCACUAUUACUGGGCUUAAAGCGUUCGUAGCUGGUCUGUUAAGUCUCUGGGGCAAUCUACUGGCUUAACCAAUAGACGUUUCAGGGAUACUGGCAGACUAGGGACCGGGAGAGGUGAGAGGUACUCCAGGGGUAGGAGUGAAAUCCUGUAAUCCUUAGGGGACCACCUGUGGCGAAGGCGUCUCACCAGAACGGCUCCGACAGUGAGGGACGAAAGCUGGGGGAGCAAACCGGAUUAGAUACCCGGGUAGUCCCAGCCGUAAACGAUGUGCGUUAGGUGUAUCGAUGACCACGAGUCAUCGAGGUGCCGAAGAGAAAUCGUGAAACGUACCGCCUGGGAAGUACGGUCGCAAGGCUGAAACUUAAAGGAAUUGGCGGGGGAGCAC